Molecule: long non-coding RNA, 348 nt
Organism: Gossypium arboreum
Lineage: Eukaryota; Viridiplantae; Streptophyta; Magnoliopsida; Malvales; Malvaceae
Exons: 2
Source: RefSeq, a predicted model, not a curated record
GGUUAGCUCGGGUUGGAGGCCGUCAGAGGUAUUAUCACACUGUCGAGUUAACGCUAUCAGCGUAAGUAAACUCAAGUGAUUCUAGUCUAUGGCAUGUAUAGGGUUUUAAUGUGAGUAUGUAAUAUUAUGAUUUAGCCAAAGGCAUUGGCUUGUUAUUAAGGUAGUAUUAGUCAUGUAAAUUGGCCUAUGUCGGCUAAUAUCGUUAUGGGCCCAUAUGAUUAUUCUUAUGCAUGUAUGUUAUUAUCUCUUGUGAUGUGGCUUACAACAUGUAUGCCUAGAGAUUGAAUUGAGAUUCAUUGAUGAGCUAAUAACUAAUGCAGGAUUAAGUGAUUGGCAAAUAGUUAAUAA